CAAGACCAGAUGUCUCAUUUCGCCUUCAAUUUUAAUGAUACUUCAAGCACAUCCUUAAAGAGCAAUGUGAGUUCGAAAGCCCUGCUCUAUUGUAAUCUCUUGAUUUUUCACACAUCAACGGUAUUUUUUAUGCAAGUGUCUCGGUUCGAUAGGGUCAUGAAAUUGAGAAAAACGAAGAUAAAGUUUGCCCAGACGUCAGGGAUACAUAAAGUGACAUGAUAGUGAUACUGAUGAAUUUUUUUUUAUGAAAACUUCAGAGUCCGUCAAGACGGAAUUGUGUCUGCGUAUCAUUAAUCACAAUCAAAUUAAGUCAAUUCAAUAAUUGUCACUUAUACUAUGAUGUUAUCGAUAAGGCCCUCAAACAUUUUUUAAUGGUAAGCCCACAUUUCUUAUGCAAAAAUACCAAAUGGGCGGAAAUCAGAUGGCUUUUUAAAAAAAAGGGGAAAAAAACCUCAAGUCAUGUUUUGUGGGAAUGAGGCAAGGGAAUCAGGGGGGGGGGCGUAAAUGGGCCUGCACUUGUUGAAUAAAGGUUAAAAAGGCCUGAAGCAAAACAAUACUACAGAUUUACUGACACCCAUUGAGCUUUUGAGUAGAGUCAGUCGUCUAGUUUAUUAGAAAAGUAAUUCGAUGCGAGUACAGACUUCUCUCUCACCAUAAUGAGGAAACUUUCGGGUUCCUGGACAACUCUGAAAAGCUCGGGGGAUCAAAAAUAGUAAGCCUUGGGAACUGACCAGCUCAGGCUUCAACCUCUAAAUCUUCAGUGAUCAUAACAGGCAAUAGCCUAAGAGUUGAAACAUAUCUUUUUCUUCUGAAUUUCCAAGAUCUGAUAAACCGAUAAAAAUCCACUUUAUCUCCUAUCAACAUACAUCAUCUUCUUCAUUUUUUUUUUGAUAACGCUUCAGUUCUUACUCUCUUUCGGUUAACAUUUUCAAUCUCGCCGGGAGCCUCGGCCCGAUCGGAUCUCUUGGUCUUGGUUUGUUAUGUCUCAAGGAUACUCUGGCUUCAAGUAUGAUUUUCUUCUUGAUCAAGUUCUAUCUUUCCUCAACUCAACUGCUUUUCUCACGGACUCUUGGUGUAGUUGUCUAUCAGUCAUAGUUUCAUAGCCUCUAUCAACUUAUUUCUCACAGAAUGGAACCCAAUAGUGACGUAUCCUGAGGACGAAUAUAAAUCUUACGAAGAUGAGGCUCGAUGGUUAUGAAAUAAAAUAAAUGUACAUGACAAGAGUAAAGACGAGGUCAGAAUCAAUAUUCUUGUUGAGGAAAAUCCCUUGCUAGUGAGGGGGAACUUUUUAAUACUGUAUAGUGUCAAAUACAGCAUUUAAAUAAUAAUAUGUGAUAUGUAAAAUAUAUAAGAAGCGUGUGUAAGUAAUUUUAGUUUUCAAAAUAUAUGGAUAAAUAUGAUUGUUAUUGUGCGAGUUUUAA
Molecule: non-coding RNA, 1421 nt
Organism: Bemisia tabaci
Lineage: Eukaryota; Metazoa; Arthropoda; Insecta; Hemiptera; Aleyrodidae
Source: RefSeq, a predicted model, not a curated record